This 200-nucleotide ribosomal RNA is filed under the name uncultured eukaryote. RNAcentral describes it as "partial 18S ribosomal RNA". The record is from RNAcentral.
GAGGGAUCGUCUUUUUUCACAUUUUCACCGACUUCGCCGACAACGAAGUAGUUUCGAUAUUGGGUUUCUUUACUAUAUUCCUAGGCAUACUGGCGGUAGCCGCGUACAACUGGUACCUGAUUACCGUCACUGGUCAGACCAUUGGAAAAAAGACAAUGGGAGUCCGCAUCGUCCAGACGGACGCGCUCCGACUGCCGGCU